ACCCGCACAAGCGGUGGAUGAUGUGGAUUAAUUCGAUGCAACGCGAAAACCUUACCUACCCUUGACAUGUCCGGAAUCCCGAAGAGAUUUGGGAGUGCUCGCAAGAGAGCCGGAACACAGGUGCUGCAUGGCUGUCGUCAGCUCGUGUCGUGAGAUGUUGGGUUAAGUCCCGCAACGAGCGCAACCCUUGUCAUUAGUUGCCAUCAUUUGGUUGGGCACUCUAAUGAGACUGCCGGUGACAAACCGGAGGAAGUGGGGAUGACGUCAAGUCCUCAUGGCCCUUAUGGGUAGGGCUUCACACGUCAUACAAUGGUCGGUACAGAGGGUUGCCAACCCGCGAGGGGGAGCUAAUCCCACAAAGCCGAUCGUAGUCCGGAUCGCAGUCUGCAACUCGACUGCGUGAAGUCGGAAUCGCUAGUAAUCGUGGAUCAGCAUGUCACGGUGAAUACGUUCCCGGGCCUU
This 462-nucleotide ribosomal RNA is filed under the name uncultured Rhodocyclaceae bacterium. Its description in RNAcentral is "bacterial SSU rRNA". It matches the Rfam family "Bacterial small subunit ribosomal RNA", at positions 919 to 1382 of the family's 1533-position model. The record is from RNAcentral. Lineage: Bacteria; Pseudomonadati; Pseudomonadota; Betaproteobacteria; Rhodocyclales; Rhodocyclaceae.